RNAcentral lists this transfer RNA (71 nucleotides) under Bacteroidota bacterium. RNAcentral's name for it is "Bacteroidetes bacterium tRNA-Gln". It matches the Rfam family "tRNA". Rfam says of the family: Transfer RNA (tRNA) molecules are approximately 80 nucleotides in length. Their secondary structure includes four short double-helical elements and three loops (D, anti-codon, and T loops). Lineage: Bacteria; Pseudomonadati; Bacteroidota. RNAcentral also lists the same sequence under 1 other name. The record is from RNAcentral.
UGCCCGAUCGUCUAAUGGCAGGACCGCUGUUUUUGGUGCAGCUUGUGGAGGUUCGAAUCCUUCUCGGGCAA